GGGGUUGUAGCUCAGUGGUAGAGUACUCGCCUAGCACACGUGAAGCAUAGGGUUCAAUCCUCAGCACCA
Molecule: transfer RNA, 69 nt
Filed under: Marmota marmota marmota (Alpine marmot)
Lineage: Eukaryota; Metazoa; Chordata; Mammalia; Rodentia; Sciuridae
Also listed under: 1 other name
Rfam family: tRNA
About the family: Transfer RNA (tRNA) molecules are approximately 80 nucleotides in length. Their secondary structure includes four short double-helical elements and three loops (D, anti-codon, and T loops).
Source: Rfam by way of RNAcentral